GACGAACGCUGGCGGCGUGCUUAACACAUGCAAGUCGAACGGAAAGGCCCUGCUUUUGUGGGGUGCUCGAGUGGCGAACGGGUGAGUAGCACGUGAGUAACCUGCCCUUGACUUUGGGAUAACUUCAGGAAACUGGGGCUAAUACCGGAUAUGAGCUCCUGCUGCAUGGUGGGGGUUGGAAAGUUUCGGCGGUUGGGGAUGGACUCGCGGCUUAUCAGCUUGUUGGUGGGGUAGUGGCUUACCCAGGCUUUGACGGGUAGCCGGCCUGGGAGGGUUACCGGGGACAUUGGGACUGAGAUACGGCGCAGACUCCUACGGGAGGCAGCGGUGGGGAAUAUUGCACAAUGGGCGGAAGCCUGAUGCAGCAACGCCGCGUGCGGGAUGACGGCCUUCGGGUUGUAAACCGAUUUGGCCUGUGACGAAGCGUGAGUGACGGUAAUGGGUAAAGAAGCACCGGCUAACUACGUG
Molecule: ribosomal RNA, 468 nt
Filed under: uncultured bacterium
Lineage: Bacteria
Description: partial 16S ribosomal RNA
Rfam family: Bacterial small subunit ribosomal RNA
Source: RNAcentral